RNAcentral lists this RNase P RNA (390 nucleotides) under Actinomycetota bacterium. RNAcentral describes it as "Actinobacteria bacterium RNase P RNA component class A". It matches the Rfam family "Bacterial RNase P class A". From Rfam's summary of the family: Ribonuclease P (RNase P) is a ubiquitous endoribonuclease, found in archaea, bacteria and eukarya as well as chloroplasts and mitochondria. Its best characterised activity is the generation of mature 5'-ends of tRNAs by cleaving the 5'-leader elements of precursor-tRNAs. Lineage: Bacteria; Bacillati; Actinomycetota. The record is from RNAcentral.
AGAGCAAGCCAGGUGGCCGCGGCGGGGCCGCGUCGCGAUGCUCCUCGGAGCUCGCAAGGCUCCCCGUCGAGGAAAGUCCGGACACCGCAGAGCAGGGCGCUGGCUAACGGCCAGCCGGGGAAACCCGAGGGAAAGCGCAACAGAGAGCAGACCGCCAGCGGCCCCUUUCGAGGGGUGCGGGCAAGGGUGAAACGGUGAGGUAAGAGCUCACCAGCGGUCCUGGUGACAGGCCGGCUCGGCAAGCCCCGCCCGGUGCAAGACCAAAUAGGGGAGCGUUUGAGGGUUGCUCGCCCGAGGCUCCCGGGUUUCGGUCGCAUGAGGCGCGCGGCAACGUGCGUCCCAGAUGGAUGGUCACCCACGACAGGAUCCGGCUUACGGCUUGCUACUGAG